RNA transcript from Arachis stenosperma, 1809 nucleotides. It is a transcript of the gene named probable phytol kinase 3, chloroplastic, with no coding region annotated. NCBI's taxonomy places the organism in Eukaryota, Viridiplantae, Streptophyta, Magnoliopsida, Fabales, Fabaceae. The record is from RefSeq and is a predicted model, not a curated record. The transcript is spliced from 3 exons.
UUGAACCCUGGCUUUGUAGAAGCAGCAGCAGCACCACCUUCACAUGCUGCCUUCAAAGAUUUGACCCACUUCACCGUUUCACACAUUUCCAUUCCCAUUUCUCUCACUAAACCCUAUUCUCUUUCAACCCUGUUUCUAACCCUUUUCAAACCCUAUUCUUCUUCUUCACUCUCACAACGCAACCACCGCAAGCUCGCCGGAAAUUCGCCGUGCCGGCAACCAUGCUCCACCAAAACCCUCUAGUCUCCGACAUCUGUGCCCUUGCUGUGUCUGCUACUAUCGCCUUCUCCUUCCUUAGGUUGUUUGAAGAGACUGCUAAACGAGCCCUCUUUGACCAGGUUUCUUCAAACGCCUUCUUUGGAUUCUUCAAUUAUCUCAAUUUUUGUGGUAUGUAGAUUAAAAAUGAGAUUCUUUUUUUGCUUUCCCCUUUUUUGCAUUUCUUGCAAUUUGAAUUGUAGUUGGGUUUAGUGUGACAACAGGGUUAGUUGGAAAGUGGUAACAAAAAACAUUGUUUAAGAAUCAUGGCAAGUUAAGCAUUAAUGAAGUGUUUUCUUUGUUAAUUGAAUGCAUAUCUGUCAUCCUUUGCAUAAUGAAGAGGACUUUUGAAUUGAAUUGUUUAGUUUUACUCAAGGUUGAUGCAGAGUAGUUGAAUUCAAAAAGUUCAUGCUCUCUUCAAUGAGUGAUGUUAUUUUGAACAUCUUAAAUAUGGGUGUUCAAGAAACAUCUCUUGUUUCUUAUUUGGUUCCUAGUUCCCUCAGUUUUCAGAAUUCGGUGAACGGAAAGUAGGAACAAGAAAUAGAUUUUAAAGAUUUUUUGUUUCCAUAAUUAAGAUAGUAGAAAACAAGUUAUGAAUCCAAAGCAUUUACUUAGUUUCUAUGUCUUUUCUUUCUUUUACAGGAGGGAAUAGAAAAAAUGUAUUAUUAGAUGCCUUAGUAAAACUUAUUAUGAAUAUGCUGAUAGGUCUUCCCCUUCAUCUACAUUGUUACAACAUGUGCGAGGUCAUUUUUGACACACAUUGCAUUUUUUCACAGAGAUUAUUGGAACCUGUCACUAUGAGAUUUUUGUUGGUAUUAGUUCCUGACUUCCUAGAUAUUGCUCGCUAUUAAAUUCAUAACUUAAGAUUUGUAUUAUCUUUCAUUGUGCAGUAGGCCGGUAGCAUUUAGUGAGUGCUAUCUUUCAAAGAUGGUAGUGCUUGGUUUUUGAACAUUUUUGUUCUUCAAACUAUAGAUUUGUGAUCAAUUGUUUCUUUUUUUAGAAUUUGAAUAGGAAACUUGUGCAUGUAAGCAUUGGGCUGAUUUUCAUGCUCUUCUGGCCACUGUAUAGGUAAUGGCAUAGUUCAUGAACUGAUGAGCUCAAAAUUCAGCUUUUUUUUUAGGUUACAGUUUCCAUUGUUGAAUCAUGCUGUUCAAUCAUUACAGUUCUGAUGGUUGGGGACCCAUCUUAGCUUCUCUUAUUCCGGGUAUCAAUAUAAUUCGGAUGCUUGUUAUCGGGCUUGGGAUAUACAAAGAUGAGGCCACCGUGAAAUCAAUGAGUAGAUUUGGAGAUUACAGGUUUCAAUAUUGUAGACAAUAAAACCUGGAACUCCUUAAAGGACCACUAUAUUAUGCUGCUACCAUUACUUUGGCAUCGGUAAUAUACUGGAGAACUUCACCUAUUUCCAUAGCUGCAAUUUGCAAUCUGUGCGCAGGAGAUGGCCUAGCUGACAUUGUUGGAAGGCGAUUUGGCGAUAAAAAGAUUCCUUACAAUAGAAACAAGUCCUAUGCUGGUUCAAUUGCAAUGGCAGCAGCUGGAUUCUUAACUUCCGUCGGG